This 312-nucleotide ribosomal RNA is filed under the name Tremella caloplacae. RNAcentral describes it as "partial large subunit ribosomal RNA". It matches the Rfam family "Eukaryotic large subunit ribosomal RNA", at positions 1 to 307 of the family's 3401-position model. Lineage: Eukaryota; Fungi; Basidiomycota; Tremellomycetes; Tremellales; Tremellaceae. The record is from RNAcentral.
GACCUCAAAUCAGGUAGGGCUACCCGCUGAACUUAAGCAUAUCAAUAAGCGGAGGAAAAGAAACUAACAAGGAUUCCCCCAGUAACGGCGAGCGAACAGGGAAAGAGCUCAAAUUUGAAAUCUGGCGUCCUCAGGGCGUCCGAGUUGUAAUCUAUAGAGACGUUUUCCGUGCCGGACCGUGUCCAAGUCCCUUGGAACAGGGUAUCAAAGAGGGUGACAAUCCCGUACUUGACACGACGACCGGCGCUCUGUGAUACGUCUUCUACGAGUCGAGUUGUUUGGGAAUGCAGCUCAAAAUGGGUGGUGGUAGCU